CAGAGCAGAAGGGAAAAUGAGACUAGAAAAAGGGAGAAGGGCUGGAAAGAAACAUGUGUGGGAUUCUCAUCUUACCUGGAACUCUAAUAGACACAGAAGAUAAAGGCAGAGAUGCUGUGGUCUCAAGGAGUUGCUCUCCAAAGACACGAUAGCCCAGACCUACAACAGGGCACAUCUGUGUUAAUGAAAUUGCUUUCAAGAUGACCUGAUCUGCCCACAACAUCACUGCUGGAAUAACCUUUCUCCAACUGUGCUUUCACCAUGGCACAUCGACCUUGGUUUUAGACCCUAUAAUGCCUCAUUUUUUUGUUUAUUGCAUAAAGUCCUUGGAACUUCCAAGUCCAGGGAACUUCCUUGCUUAGUUCCCAGGGCUCUGCAAAAUCUAGUUCCAAGGUAGCACUUCUCU
This 406-nucleotide long non-coding RNA is filed under the name Equus caballus (horse). RNAcentral's name for it is "lncRNA (ENSECAG00000048040.1)". Lineage: Eukaryota; Metazoa; Chordata; Mammalia; Perissodactyla; Equidae. The record is from RNAcentral.